AACCUGGUGGUUAAUACGAAAUAUAAGUGCUCAAUAUGGUUGGAUGAAAAUCAACAGAAAAAGGAGACACGUGUAAUUUUAUUAAUUGCUGAGAGGGUUUAAAUUACUGUGCAACGCAAGGGAUCGCCGUUCAAAGUGCUGGCACGCCUGCGGGCGUAGCUGAGCGAGAUGUGAUGAGGCAAAACAUCCGGCGAGAGGGAUUAACAAAAUGACAUGCUGUGUCAAUAUUGCGUGAAGUAGUUGCAGUGCGUAAUUUGAGGUAGCAACCAUCCACUGGUAUGGACAGGGGUAUGGCAACAAAAAACGGGACUGCGCCAUUAUAAAAGAAUGCCCCAAGUGCCACAAAUCCACUAAACGACCACUAAACGAGAUCUAAACGACUCAAGGGCUCAGCCUA
Long non-coding RNA from Anopheles merus, 397 nucleotides. RefSeq lists it as uncharacterized. The transcript has 3 exons. NCBI's taxonomy places the organism in Eukaryota, Metazoa, Arthropoda, Insecta, Diptera, Culicidae. The record is from RefSeq and is a predicted model, not a curated record.